GAAAUCCGGAUUAAUACCUCAUAAUAUUUCGAAUUCGCAUGUUUUCGAGAUUAAAGUUCAGACGGUUAGAGAUGGGCAUGCGUGACAUUAGUUAGUUGGUGAGGUAACGGCUCACCAAGACUACGAUGUCUAGGGGGUCUGAGAGGAUGGUCCCCCACACUGGUACUGAGACACGGACCAGACUCCUACGGGAGGCAGCAGUGAGGAAUAUUGGGCAAUGGACGCAAGUCUGACCCAGCCAUGCCGCGUGCAGGAUGACUGCCCUAUGGGUUGUAAACUGCUUUUAUUUGGGAAGAAACCCUCGCUCGUGAGCGGGGCUGACGGUACCAAAAGAAUAAGCAUCGGCUAACUCCGUGCCAGCAGCCGCGGUAAUACGGAGGAUGCAAGCGUUAUCCGGAUUUAUUGGGUUUAAAGGGUGCGUAGGCGGAAAUUUAAGUCAGUGGUGAAAUCCUACAGCUCAACUGUAGAACUGCCAUUGAUACUGAUUUUUCUUGAGUAUAGUUGAGGUGGGCGGAAUGUGUAAUGUA
This 527-nucleotide ribosomal RNA is filed under the name uncultured bacterium. RNAcentral describes it as "bacterial SSU rRNA". It matches the Rfam family "Bacterial small subunit ribosomal RNA", at positions 153 to 677 of the family's 1533-position model. The record is from RNAcentral.